GAUGAACGCUGGCGGCGUGCUUAACACAUGCAAGUCGAGCGAGAAGUUUUGAAAAGAUUCUUCUGUUGUAAUUUAAAAUGGAAAGCGGCGGACGGGCGAGUAACGCGUAUGCAACCUGCCCCAUACAAAGGGAUAGCAUUUGGAAACGAAUAUUACUACCUUAUGAAACUUAACUAGUGCAUGCUAGGUAGGUCAAAGAUUUAUCGGUAUGGGAUGGGCCGGCGUCUGAUUAGCUAGUUGGUGAGGUAACGGCUCACCCAGGCGACGAUCAGUAGCCGACCAGCGGAGGUGAACGGCCACAUUGGAAGGGAGGCACGGGUCAGACACCUUCGGGAAGGAGCAGUGGGGAAAAGUGGACAAGGGGGGUAACCCUGGAGCAGCAACGGCGCGUGAACGAUGAAGGGCUUUGGGGCGGAAAGUUCUGUUAUAGGUGAUGAAAACUGACAGUAACCGAAGAGAAAGCCCCGGCUAACUCCGUG
This 479-nucleotide ribosomal RNA is filed under the name uncultured bacterium. Its description in RNAcentral is "partial 16S ribosomal RNA". It matches the Rfam family "Bacterial small subunit ribosomal RNA", at positions 28 to 507 of the family's 1533-position model. The record is from RNAcentral.